GUGACAUUUUCCUAGAAAAUUCCAUUCCACUGGAUCCACCCUGAAUCUUCCACCCACCUACUGCUCCACCAUUUCCCUGUUUAGAUUGAAUCUUGUCUCCAGGAAAAGAGAGGGCCAGAGGCAACUCAACAUUCUCAAUAUCCUUCCUUAAUCCCAUUAAAGGAUUCUGAAAGGAAAAAUAAAUGAUGCCACUCUAAAUAUAUCUUUAAAAUCUGGGUCCAGUUAAAAAAUCAAAGCUCCUUUCCGCGCUACCUGCCGAGGGCUCCAAACAGCGUUGAUCUGGAUUCCCGUCGUAACUUAAAGGGAAACUUUCACAAUGUCUGGAACCCUUGAUGUCCUGCAAAUAAAGGAGGAGGAUGUCCUUAAGUUCCUGGCAGCAGGAACCCAUUUAGGUGGCACCAACCUUGACUUCCAGAUGGAACAGUAUAUCUAUAAAAGGAAAAGUGAUGGCAUCUACAUCAUAAAUCUGAAGAGGACCUGGGAGAAGCUUCUCCUGGCAGCUCGUGCCAUUGUUGCCAUUGAAAACCCUGCUGAUGUCAGUGUUAUAUCCUUCAGGAAUACUGGCCAGAGGGCCAUGCUGAAGUUUGCUGCUGCCACUGGAGCCACUCCAAUUGCUGGCAGCUUUACUCCUGGAACCUUCACCAACAGAUCCAGGCAGCCUUCCGGGAGCCACGGCUGCUUGUGGUCACUGACCCAAGGGCUGACCACCAGCCUCUCAUGGAGGCGUCUUAUGUCAACCUACCUACCAUUGCUUUGUGUAACACAGAUUCUCCUCUGCGCUAUGUGGACAUUGCCAUCCCAUGCAACAACAAGGGAGCUCAGUCAGUGGGUUUGAUGUGGUGGAUGCUGGCUCGGGAAGUUUUGCUCAUACGUGACACCAUUUCCCGUGAACACCUGUGGGAGGUCAUGCCUGAUCUCUACUUCUACAGAGAUCCUGAAGAGAUUGAAAAAGAAGAGCAGGCUGCUGCUGAAAAGGCUGUGACCAAGGAGGAAUUUCAGGGAGAAUGGAUUGCUCCAGCUCCUGAGUUCGCUGCUACUCAGCCUGAGGUUGCUGACUGGUCUGAAGGCGUGCAGUUGCCCUCUGUGCCUAUCCAGCAGUUCCCUACUGAAGACUGGAGCACCCAGCCUGCCACGGAAGACUAGUCUGCAGCUCCCACUGCUCAGGCCACUGAAUGGGUAGGAGCAACCACUGGAUGGUCUUAAGCUGUUCUUGUGUGGCCUCUUAAACAACAUACAAGAUUCAUGGAAAAUAAACAACGAGUUUCUAAAAAAAAAAAUCAAAGCAAGUAAAAUAAAAAAAUAUUUAAGUGAGAG
Callithrix jacchus (white-tufted-ear marmoset) is the source of this 1314-nucleotide non-coding RNA. The record is from RefSeq and is a predicted model, not a curated record. Lineage: Eukaryota; Metazoa; Chordata; Mammalia; Primates; Cebidae.